RNAcentral lists this ribosomal RNA (505 nucleotides) under uncultured bacterium. RNAcentral describes it as "partial 16S ribosomal RNA". It matches the Rfam family "Bacterial small subunit ribosomal RNA", at positions 28 to 507 of the family's 1533-position model. The record is from RNAcentral.
GACGAACGCUGGCGGCGUGCCUAAUACAUGCAAGUAGAACGCACGGUUUAUACCGUAGCUUGCUACACGACAGACGCUGAGGUGCGAACGGCUCAUUAACACCUAACUUACCUGCCUGGUAGCGGGUGAUAACUAUUGGAAUCGAUCGCUAAUACCUCAUGAUAUUCAUUAUUCCAUGAUAAUUGAUUGAAAUGUUCAAUUUCAUCACUACCUCCGGGACCUACGUUGUAUUAGCUAAUAGGUGAGGUAACGGCGCACCUAGGCGACGAUACAUAGGCGAACUGAGAGGGGGGUCGGCCACACUGGGAAUGAGACACGGCCCAGACUCCUACGGGAGGCAGCAGUAGGGAAUCUUCGGGAAUGGACGAAAGUCUGACCGAGCAACGCCGCGUGAGGGAAGAAGGUUCUCGGAUCGGAAAGAUCUGUUGUAAGAGAAGAAAGGGUGUGAGAGUGGAAAGUUCACACUGUGACGGUAUCUUACCAGAAAGAGACGGCUAACUACGUG